AGCGUGGCAACAAGUGUUUUUAAUUCUUUAUAUCCAGCAACACUACAUUUCAUGAAAGGCUUCAUCUUCAUGUUUGGAGGGAUUCUUCUUCUCAUUCCUGCUGCAAUUAUUGGACUGAUACAGUGCUGUAAGACUGAAGGGCAGUACAGACGUUUUACAGAUGAUUCUUGAAUCUUCUGGAGUAAAGCCUGAUGCCCAGAUUCCUGUGGGUCAGAAAAGACAAGGACAUUGCUGGAUUGCCAUUUUAAGGAAAUAGAUUUGUACUGAGCCUUCCUGAGGUGCCUGACCUGGAGGUGACACUUCGCCUUUAACUAAAUAAAAAAACUUUGUGCAUAAAACAACUAACAGCGACAACCUGUUUUUCUGGAAAAGUAUGGUUUUAUUCAAUGGUUAUAAGAAUUAUAAGUGAAAUGUUACUAAGAAAAAUACAAGCACACACAGCUUACUUUUAACACAUUAAUAUCAGUUUCAACUGACUUUUACUGUUUUUAACCCUAAAAUGUUACAUUGGAAAUACUAUUAUUUUAGGAAGUGUUCUGUAAUUCUAAACUAAUCCAAUUUUCUUUAAACAUACAGUUGUCAUGAAUUGUGUGGCAUUUAUGCAAACUAUGUGCAGGGAAGACUGUUCAUUGAGGAAGACCAUAUGUAGCACAAGUGCUGGAAUAUUGCUAAUCAUCUUUACUAAUAAAAUACUACUUUGUAUUAAGGUUA
Protopterus annectens (West African lungfish) is the source of this 711-nucleotide long non-coding RNA. RefSeq lists it as uncharacterized. The record is from RefSeq and is a predicted model, not a curated record. The transcript is spliced from 2 exons. Lineage: Eukaryota; Metazoa; Chordata; Ceratodontiformes; Protopteridae.